UUACGGGAGGCAGCAGUGGGGAAUCUUGCGCAAUGGGCGAAAGCCUGACGCAGCAACGCCGCGUGUGUGAUGAAGGUCUUCGGAUCGUAAAGCACUGUCGGGAGGGACGAAUAAGGGGCGGGCUAACAUCCCGUUCCGAUGACGGUACCUCCAAAGGAAGCACCGGCUAACUCUGUGCCAGCAGCCGCGGUAAUACAGAGGGUGCUAGCGUUGUUCGGAAUUAUUGGGCGUAAAGCGCGUGUAGGCGGCCUUGCAAGUUGGGUGUGAAAGCCCUCGGCUUAACCGAGGAAGUGCGCCCAAAACUACAUGGCUUGAGUACCGGAGAGGGUGGCGGAAUUCCCGGUGUAGAGGUGAAAUUCGUAGAUAUCGGGAGGAACACCAGUGGCGAAGGCGGCCACCUGGACGGCUACUGACGCUGAGACGCGAAAGCGUGGGGAGCAAACAGGAUUAGAAACCCGAGUAGUCCG
Molecule: ribosomal RNA, 467 nt
Filed under: uncultured bacterium
Lineage: Bacteria
Description: bacterial SSU rRNA
Rfam family: Bacterial small subunit ribosomal RNA
Source: RNAcentral